GGUUAAGUCAGGCAACGAGCAAGACCCGUGCCCACAGUUGCCAGCAUACCCUCCGGGGUGAUGGGCACACUGUGGGGACCGCCGCUGCUAAAGCGGAGGAAGGUGCGGGCUACGGUAGGUCAGUAUGCCCCGAAUCAUCCGGGCUACACGCGGGCUACAAUGGUUGGGACAAUGGGCACCUACACCGAGAGGUGAUGGUAAUCUCCUAAACCCAGCCUUAGUUCGGAUUGAGGGCUGCAACUCGCCCUCAUGAAGCCGGAAUCCGUAGUAAUCGCGUAUCAAUAUCACGCGGUGAAUACGUCCCUGCUCCUUGCACA
Molecule: ribosomal RNA, 317 nt
Filed under: uncultured archaeon
Lineage: Archaea
Description: bacterial SSU rRNA
Rfam family: Archaeal small subunit ribosomal RNA
Source: RNAcentral